AGAACGAACGCUGGCGGCGUGGAUAAGACAUGCAAGUCGGACGCUCAUUCAUCUGCAGCAAUGUGGAUGAGUGGGAGUGGCGCAAGGGUGCGUAACACGUGGGUAAUUUGCCGCGAAGUUGGGGAUAACUCGCUGAAAGGCGAGCUAAUACCGGAUGUGGUAAGCAAGUGGCAUCAUUGGCUUACUAAAGUUGGGGACCUGCAAAGGCCUGACGCUUCGCGAUAAGCCCGCGGCCUAUCAGCUAGUUGGCGAGGUAACGGCUCACCAAGGCUAAGACGGGUAGCUGGUCUGAGAGGACGACCAGCCACACUGGAACUGAGAGACGGUCCAGACGCCUACGGGUGCAGCAGUCGAGAAUUUUCACAAUGGGCGCAAGCCUGAUGGAGCGACGCCGCGUGGGAUGAAGGCUUCGGCUCGUAAACCCCUGUCAUUUGCCGAACAAACCCUCAACAUUGAACAGGUGUGAGCUGAUU
Molecule: ribosomal RNA, 473 nt
Filed under: uncultured soil bacterium
Lineage: Bacteria
Description: bacterial SSU rRNA
Rfam family: Bacterial small subunit ribosomal RNA
Source: RNAcentral